Pelobates cultripes (western spadefoot toad) is the source of this 308-nucleotide non-coding RNA. The record is from the annotation of a GenBank genome assembly. Lineage: Eukaryota; Metazoa; Chordata; Amphibia; Anura; Pelobatidae.
GUAUUUCAUGGAGUGUUCUCUUAGUCGACUAGCAACUUUGAGCCAGCUUCCUCUUCUCUACCAGGACUGAGAACAGCACAUCUGACAGUGUGCCCCUUAUAAUGUAUCGUCCCCAUCUCUCUCGAGCAGCUCAUAAUCACCGAUCUCGCUGCGAUAUCUCUUGUCAACGCGAUUAUAUCUCUGGGUGCGCCACCUGGUCCCGCUGCUAAUUUCCUCACUCUGAACGCGGAGGUUAUCAUAGGCCUUGCAGGGGUGUCUUCAAUUUACAUGUGUGUAAGCAUGUCUUUGAUAAACACAGGCAAUGUCUC